UCUGUUAGGAUUUUACAUCUCCCAUCUCCCAGGAACAAUGAUCAAUUCAGAUUUGCAAACUAGAAAAGAAAGCACAGCAAUGACAGAACAUAAAACCAGGAAAGAAUCAAGAUUAUGGACACAAGAACAUCAUGUUUUGGAACAAUUUUCAUCAACCACUUUCAGGGAAUUUACCCCAGUCAAUCUGCCAUAAAAGAGAAGAAAUUACAUAGUGUUUAUUACACAAAACACUACCACUCACCACUCAACCGGGAAUACACCAGAAACUUCACACAGAAAAUUCUCACAGAAAGUUGCAAGGAUUGCCUACAGAGAACUUUCUCUCAAUCUUACUUUCUUUCUCACACUACAGAAUAUCCCCCUCUAGCUCAC
This 372-nucleotide long non-coding RNA is filed under the name Olea europaea (common olive). Its description in RNAcentral is "long non-coding RNA (OEUR_LNC008923)". Lineage: Eukaryota; Viridiplantae; Streptophyta; Magnoliopsida; Lamiales; Oleaceae. The record is from RNAcentral.